AGAGUUUGAUCUUUUUUCAGAUUGAACGCUGGCGGGAUGCCUUACACAUGCAAGUCGAACGGCAGCACGGGAGCUUGCUCCUGGUGUCGAGUGGCGAACGGGUGAGUAAUAUAUCGGAACGUACCCUAGAGUGGGGGUAUAACGCUUCGAAAGUUGCGCUAACCCCGCAUACGAUCUACGGAUGAAAGUGGGGGAUCGCAAGACCUCAUGCUCAUGGAGCGGCCGAUAUCUGAUUAGCUAGUUGGUGGGGUAAAGGCCUACCAAGGCAUCGAUCAGUAGCUGGUCUGAGAGGACGACCAGCCACACUGGAACUGAGACACGGUCCAGACUCCUACGGGAGGCAGCAGUGGGGAAUUUUGGACAAUGGGGGCAACCCUGAUCCAGCAAUGCCGCGUGAGUGAAGAAGGCCUUCGGGUUGUAAAGCUCUUUUGUCAGGGAAGAAACGGUGAGGGCUAAUAUCCUUUGCUAAUGACGGUACCUGAAGAAUAAGCACCGGCUAACUACGUGCCAGCAGCCGCGGUAAUACGUAGGGUGCAAGCGUUAAUCGGAAUUACUGGGCGUAAAGCGUGCGCAGGCGGUUAUGUAAGUCAGAUGUGAAAUCCCCGGGCUCAACCUGGGAAUGGCAUUUGAGACUGCAUGGCUAGAGUGUGUCAGAGGGGGUAGAAUUCCACGUGUAGCAGUGAAAUGCGUAGAGAUGUGGAGGAAUACCGAUGGCGAAGGCAGCCCCCUGGGAUAACACUGACGCUCAUGCACGAAAGCGUGGGGAGCAAACAGGAUUAGAUACCCUGGUAGUCCACGCCCUAAACGAUUAUAGUAGUUGUCUGGGAAAUUAAUUGUUUUCGUAACACAGCUAACGCGUGACGUAGACCGCCUGGGGAGUACGGUCGCAAGAUUAAAACUCAAAGGAAUUGACGGGGACCCGCCCAACCGGUGGUUGAUGUGGAUUAAUUUGAUGCUACGCGAAAAACAAUACGUACCCUUCACAUGUACGGAACAUCUUAGAGAUUAGAGGGUGGUCGCAAGAGAGCAGUCACACAGGAGCUGCAUGGCUGUCGUCAGCUCGUGUCGUGAGAUGUUGGGUUAAGUCCCCCAACGAGCGCAACCCCUCUCAUUAGUUGCUACGAAAGGGCACUCUAAUGAGACAGCCGGCGACAAACCGGAGGAAGGGGGGGAGGACGUCAAGUCCUCACGGCCCCUAUGGGUAGGGCUUCACACGUCAUACAAUGGUACAUACAGAGGGCCGCCAACCCCCGAGGGGGAGGUAAUCCCCGAAAGAGUAUAGUAGUCCGGAUUGUAGUCUGCAACUCGACUACAUGAAGUAGGAAUCGCUAGUAAUCGCGGAUCAGCAUGUCGCGGUGAAAAAGUUCCCGGGUCUUGCCCUCACCGCCCGUCA
RNAcentral lists this ribosomal RNA (1393 nucleotides) under uncultured bacterium. RNAcentral's name for it is "bacterial SSU rRNA". It matches the Rfam family "Bacterial small subunit ribosomal RNA". The record is from RNAcentral.